Molecule: long non-coding RNA, 863 nt
Filed under: Salmo salar (Atlantic salmon)
Lineage: Eukaryota; Metazoa; Chordata; Actinopteri; Salmoniformes; Salmonidae
Description: lncRNA (ENSSSAG00000095999.1, ENSSSAG00000108083.1)
Source: RNAcentral
GAGGAGGGAGGGAGAGAGCUAUGAAGCGCUGAAGGCUUUGUAGAGUUGUAAUGUAAAAAUGUUCGGACUGAACUGGGAAAGACAAAAGAAUGACAGACAAUUCCAGUAAGCCAGUUGACAACAAGUUCUCAUUUACAACUGAGACCUGGCCAAGGAUAAAGCAAAGCCGUGCGACAAAAAACAACAACACAGAGUACACAUGGGCUAAACAAAGCUCCAUGGCAUAGCGAUUGGUCUCUGCUAUGUCUCCCACCAGCUCCACUGUCAGAAACAACUUGAAGCACUCCGCCUCAGAUGGAAAUGGCAACAGGCGUUGCACUCCAGAGUGGGACUCAUCAAAGCAAACAGCAGGGCCAGGAGAGGUGAAAUGGCUGGCAGCCUUCCAGCUACCACAGAACUCCUGUACGUCAUCCACUGUCGGUCUGCCUCCAUCACCACCAGCAUCUUCAAAGGGAACUGGGACUUUGUCAGUGGACAAGGGGUCCUCAGAUUCAGGGUUCUCAAUGGCUGGGGGGCAGCUCCUCACUGUCACUGUCAGAAUCUGAUUCCUGACUUUCAGACAUUGUCAGAAUUUUUUAACAUCUCCAGAAUUUCUGCAUUUGUGAGUUGUCUCCUUUUGAAAGACUUUGCUAAUGCUACGGCUUAGCUCACUAGUUACAUACAUAAACAGCAACACUGAAUGGCUCAGAGUGGGAGUGAGAGGUUACGUGAUUGACUGCCUGCACACGCCAUUUGUAUCAAUAAAUCACUAUCAGAAAAUGUUUUGUGUGGUAAUUAUUGAUAUAUUUACUGUUUUCUUCCCAUGUUUUUCAAGUACCGGUGAUAAAUAAUGCAUUCCGAUUCUUGCAUAGAUUGUAAUGGGC